This 220-nucleotide ribosomal RNA is filed under the name uncultured bacterium. RNAcentral describes it as "partial 16S ribosomal RNA". It matches the Rfam family "Bacterial small subunit ribosomal RNA", at positions 267 to 504 of the family's 1533-position model. The record is from RNAcentral.
ACCAAGGCAACGAUCAGUAGCCGGUCUGAGAGGAUGAACGGCCACAUUGGAACUGAGACACGGUCCAAACUCCUACGGGAGGCAGCAGUGGGGGAUAUUGCACAAUGGGGGAAACCCUGAUGCAGCGACGCCGCGUGAGUGAAGAAGUAUUUCGGUAUGUAAAGCUCUAUCAGCAGGGAAGAAAUUGACGGUACCUGACCAAGAAGCCCCGGCUAACUAC